Molecule: ribosomal RNA, 217 nt
Filed under: uncultured bacterium
Lineage: Bacteria
Description: partial 16S ribosomal RNA
Rfam family: Bacterial small subunit ribosomal RNA
Source: RNAcentral
GCCUCCCUCCGCGCCACUCAGACUCCUACGGAGGGCAGCAGUAAGGAAUAUUGGUCAAUGGGCGAAAGCCUGAACCAGCCAUGCCGCGUGGAGGAUGAAGGUCCUCUGGAUUGUAAACUUCUUUACAUUUGGGAAGAAACCCACGAUUUCUAUUGUGGUUUGACGGUACCAGAUGAAUAAGCACCGGCUAACUCCGUGCCAGCAGCCGCGGUAAUAC